Non-coding RNA from Pelobates cultripes (western spadefoot toad), 244 nucleotides. Lineage: Eukaryota; Metazoa; Chordata; Amphibia; Anura; Pelobatidae. The record is from the annotation of a GenBank genome assembly.
GUGUUUGACCUUCUCAAAAUGGCUACACGUCCACUCCGGAUCAUCGUGGUCACGUGGUACUGGCUUCCGAUGACGUACUUCCUGUGUGUCUGAUGUUUCCUUUUCGACUGUAUCCCAUCCUUCCUACAGACGUCCUUCCUACAUGGCAGCUGUUUGCCUUGUUCUGUCAUUAGCACAAAAGUAUCCCUUAAGAAAUAUUGCUACACACCUAUAACCUAUGUAAUAAAUGUGUCCAUGAAGUCCC